GACGAACGCUGGCGGCGUGCUUAACACAUGCAAGUCGAACGAUGAAGAAAAGAAUUGAAGCUUCGGCAGAAAUUCAUUUCGGAUUAGUGGCAGACGGGUGAGUAACGCGUGAGCAACCUACCUCUUACAAAGGGAUAGCCUCGGGAAACCGGGAUUAAUACCAUAUAACAUUGCGACGAAGCAUUUCGAUGCAAUCAAAGCUACGGCGGUAAGAGAUGGGCUCGCGUCCCAUUAACCAGAUGGUGAGGUAACGGCUCACCAUGGUAACGAUGGGUAACCGGCAUGGAAGGAUGAACGGUCACACUGGAGCUGGGACACGGUCCAGACUCCUACGGGAGGCAGCAGUGGGGAAUAUUGAACGCUGGGGGGAUCUAUAAGGCAGCGGGGCCGCGAAAGUGAUGAAGGAAUUAGGUUCGUAAAACUCUGUUAUAUGGGAAGAAAAGGACGGUACCAUAGGAGAAAGCUCCGGCUAAAUACGU
This 479-nucleotide ribosomal RNA is filed under the name uncultured bacterium. RNAcentral describes it as "partial 16S ribosomal RNA". It matches the Rfam family "Bacterial small subunit ribosomal RNA", at positions 28 to 506 of the family's 1533-position model. The record is from RNAcentral.